ACAACAUAAGGACUGUUGGUCUACCGAGCAAUAUCACCCGCUCGAUGGAAGAUCUCUCCUUUCGUUGU
RNAcentral lists this microRNA precursor (68 nucleotides) under Bombyx mori (domestic silkworm). Its description in RNAcentral is "mir-2774 microRNA precursor family". It matches the Rfam family "mir-2774 microRNA precursor family". Lineage: Eukaryota; Metazoa; Arthropoda; Insecta; Lepidoptera; Bombycidae. The record is from Rfam by way of RNAcentral.